GGACUAUUAGUCUAGAAAAAGAUUUCUGAUUUCGACUCAGUAGAGCGUGAUUAAACCCACGAUAGUCUU
RNAcentral lists this transfer RNA (69 nucleotides) under Eurypharynx pelecanoides (pelican eel). Its description in RNAcentral is "tRNA-Arg". Lineage: Eukaryota; Metazoa; Chordata; Actinopteri; Anguilliformes; Eurypharyngidae. The record is from RNAcentral.